GGAAGAAAGAGAAAUUGAAAAGAAACGAGAGAAACGGCACAAGGAGUUCACGUAUCGGCGCUCGGACCCGAUCGACUUCCGGCUUGAUGCACUUUCUGGUCUUUUCGCGGUACUUCCCGGCACACGAUCGCCAUCUAACAGACAACAGAGCGAGAGAGAGAAGACAGCGUUAACCCAGAACCGGUGCUACACGAGUCACCUGUAGAGGGUCAGAUACGCAAGAUCUGCGCCGGUGGCAAUUCCAAUUAACGCUCCCGGAUCCGGUCAUUUUCGGAUUUGCAGAGAUCAAGAAUGGUGAAUAAUAUGAAUAGCCCGACCCGACUACCCACGCUGGACCACCACCCUUCUAUCUGCUGCCUAAAAUUCACAAGGAGCCCUCUAAAUGGAGUGUCCCCUUUGAGAUCAAUAGUGUCAGACUGCAGGUACCGACGCAGUGUUAAAGGGUUAAAAGGUGGUCCUCUCCUUUGACUUAAAUAGUUGGACAGCUAUCAAAUAAAUGCAGUCAGCACUGAGAAUGGCAAAAAAAAAAAUUCUCAUAUGCAGAGCUUUGGAUCUCUAAGAUCAACUUCUCAGCUUCUCUGACGGCUACGGAGAAAAGCUGCCUCCAAAAGCUCAAGAAAAAAACAUGCCAUACAUUCCACUGCUGAACUGCAACUCAUUCAUGGUAGAGGAUGACCUUAUACACUGGUCCAGGCCUACUGCCAUAUGCAUGCUGAAAUACUGGUGCAAAUAUUUUAAACUCGCAGACCCCAUAAGUCCACUUGUGGAAGGGGGAAAAUACAAGGGAGCAAGACCCUUGACGUCACAAAAUGUUGUGAUCCUACAGAGUUCAAACCGACGGAAGCUCAAUUGAAUCUGCUUAACGGAGGGCUAACAUUUGUGCCAACCCUGAAUAUAACCACGAAUCAAAAAACACAAUUAGAAUUAGACCUACAAAAGUACCAUCGGAAGCUCAAAUUGAAAACAUUCUUUAGAAAUUAACAUCAAAGGAAUCCACCGCCAUUUACACCACCAUCGAUUUGGACGUCGCCUAUGUCAGAACUGCCAGAGGAGUUGGUGGUUAUCCUGAGCAGAGAACAAUAUAUAGGCGAGGUCCAACGCCAAUUGCAAGAUGAAACAUUACAAACAAUUAAAGGACCCCCUAUACCCAGAAUCCAUUUUGUUGGUACAUUAAACUUUAAGUGUGUUACAUAAGGAAGAAAAAAAAAGAGGUGUUAACAAAAUGCUGCAUCAAGCUGUUUCACUACCUGAGGUACUUGGACGACAUCUGUGGGGUUUGCACUGCCUCUAUGGAGGAAUUCGGAAAGUUCGUGGACGUCCUAAAUACACAUGAUCCAUCAAUAAAAAUCAAACAUGAAUUUGACAAGAAUAAAAUUGACUUCUUGGACACAACUGUGUAUUUGGGACCAUCCUACAAACUAAACCAGACUCUGGACAAAGG
Molecule: long non-coding RNA, 1441 nt
Organism: Dicentrarchus labrax (European seabass)
Lineage: Eukaryota; Metazoa; Chordata; Actinopteri; Moronidae
Exons: 4
Source: RefSeq, a predicted model, not a curated record